Molecule: long non-coding RNA, 235 nt
Organism: Papaver somniferum (opium poppy)
Lineage: Eukaryota; Viridiplantae; Streptophyta; Magnoliopsida; Ranunculales; Papaveraceae
Exons: 3
Source: RefSeq, a predicted model, not a curated record
GACGGGUAUCUGGGACUUCGAUUUAUUUUGAAUCGAUGCCCUACCGUCUUGAUGAAUCAACAGGCCUUAUUGAUUAUGAUAUGCUUGAGAAAACUGCCACCCUCUUUCGACCAAAACUCAUCAUUGUUGGUGCUAGUGCUUAUCCUCGUGAUUUAGAUUAUCCUCGAAUGAGAAAGAUUCUGUUGGGGCUUUUCUCAUGAUGGAUAUGGCUCACAUAAGUGGUCUCGUUGCUGCA